RNAcentral lists this ribosomal RNA (460 nucleotides) under uncultured bacterium. RNAcentral's name for it is "partial 16S ribosomal RNA". It matches the Rfam family "Bacterial small subunit ribosomal RNA", at positions 338 to 795 of the family's 1533-position model. The record is from RNAcentral.
CCUACGGGAGGCAGCAGUGAGGAAUAUUGGUCAAUGGGCGGGAGCCUGAACCAGCCAAGUCGCGUGAGGGAAGACGGUCCUAUGGAUUGUAAACCUCUUUUGUCAGGGAGCAACGCCGGCUACGUGUAGCCGGACUGAGAGUACCUGAAGAAAAAGCAUCGGCUAACUCCGUGCCAGCAGCCGCGGUAAUACGGAGGAUGCGAGCGUUAUCCGGAUUUAUUGGGUUUAAAGGGUGCGUAGGCGGAAUGCCAAGUCAGCGGUAAAAUCGCGGGGCUCAACCUCGCUCCGCCGUUGAAACUGGCGUUCUUGAGUGGGCGAGAAGUAUGCGGAAUGCGUGGUGUAGCGGUGAAAUGCAUAGAUAUCACGCAGAACACCGAUUGCGAAGGCAGCUUUCCAAGCUAUUACUGACGCUGAGGCACGAAAGCGUGGGGAGCGAACAGGAUUAGAUACCCGAGUAGUC